Molecule: long non-coding RNA, 740 nt
Organism: Osmerus eperlanus (European smelt)
Lineage: Eukaryota; Metazoa; Chordata; Actinopteri; Osmeriformes; Osmeridae
Exons: 4
Source: RefSeq, a predicted model, not a curated record
CCAUGCAGCUUGUAAAUGCUCAAAUCUGACCCUCUCAAACAUCACUGUAAAUGACUCUGGUUUAUACAUCUGUCAAGUAAACAUAGAUAUACCAAAGCUUCAUCAAUCAGGAGGGAAUGGAACCAACAUAACAGUUACAACCAUCAAACAAGUUAACAUGACAAACGGAAAAGAAGAAGAAGAAAUCAACCACUCACAUCUCCUGUUUAUCAUAAUUUCUCUGGCUGUCCUGGCUGUCCUUUUCUUUGCUGCUCUAUUCUGCUUUAUGAUUAGAAAACACGUCUUGGAUUCAGAGAAUAUAGCCAUGGGGAUAUACGAGGCUCCGCACCCUGGGUCAGAGGAGUCUGAUGGCCAGAGCACCAAUUCCUCCAGGGGAUCUACCCAGUGGUGUCAAGUCCAGGUGUACGAAUCUUUCGAUUACUUUGCUGUCAAAGACAACAAAGGAAAAGGAUGAAAGGAGUCAGGUGGCUGAGCGGUUAGGGAAUCGGGCUAGUAAUCAGAAGGUUGCUGGUUCGAUCCCCGGCUCUGCCAAAUGACGUUGUGUCUUUGGGCAAGGCACUUCACCCUACUUGCCUCAGGGGAAUGUCCCUGUACUUACUGUAAGUCGCUCUGGAUAAGAGCGUCUGCUAAAUGUCUCAGCUCAUUUCAACCUUUUUUUUAUCUCCACUGUACUGUCUGCAUACUGUAUUUCUAUUAUUGCUGUAAUUAUUUUCUUAUUUUGUAUUUGCCUAAAAAUAUAA